Molecule: ribosomal RNA, 253 nt
Filed under: uncultured bacterium
Lineage: Bacteria
Description: partial 16S ribosomal RNA
Rfam family: Bacterial small subunit ribosomal RNA
Source: RNAcentral
UACGUAGGGUGCAAGCGUUGUCCGGAAUUAUUGGGCGUAAAGAGCUCGUAGGCGGUUUGUUGCGUCGGCUGUGAAAUCCCGAGGCUCAACCUCGGGUCUGCAGUCGAUACGAGCAAACUAGAGUGUUGCAGGGGAGACUGGAAUUCAUGGUGUAGCAGUGAAAUGCGUAGAGAUCAUGAGGAAGACCAGUGGCGAAGGCGGGUCUCUGGACAGUUCCUGACACUGAGACACGAAGGCCAGGGGAGCAAACGGG